GCCGAUAUAGCUCAAUUGGUAGAGCAACGGAUUUGUAAUCCGUAGGUUCGGGGUUCGAUUCCCCGUGUCGGCUCCA
RNAcentral lists this transfer RNA (76 nucleotides) under Magnetococcales bacterium. RNAcentral's name for it is "tRNA-Thr". It matches the Rfam family "tRNA". From Rfam's summary of the family: Transfer RNA (tRNA) molecules are approximately 80 nucleotides in length. The record is from RNAcentral. Lineage: Bacteria; Pseudomonadati; Pseudomonadota; Magnetococcia; Magnetococcales.